UCCAAUUCCACGGACCUGAAAUACCAAGGCAACCAGACCGAGGUCAAUGGGGACUCACAGAAGCAGAAUCAACAGGAAUUUGUUAAGGAAAUGGCGAUUGAUCAAAAUACCUCGGAUGUGAAAACUGAUGUUCCACCAGAUGGCGCUAGCAGUGGUGGCGGUGAUGGUGGUGGUGGUGAUGACGUGGCUGGACCAAAAACUGUUGCCGACAGCAUGCACGGUGUGAUGAUGCAUGGGGAUAAGACACCAGGGAAGGACCACAGCCAUGAACAUAGCGGAUCAGAGAAUGUUGUGGCCACAAACACAAAAGCUGGGCCUCAAGACAUAGAGCAACAAAUGCAUGGAGUUAUGAUGCACGGUGACAGUGCCCCUGGUAAGGAUCACAGCCACGAACGUGGUGACCCACAGAAUGCUGCUCACACAAACACAAAAGCUGGGCCUCAAGACAUAGAACAACAAAUGCAUGGAGUUAUGAUGCACGGUGACAGUGCCCCUGGUAAGGAUCACAGCCAUGAACAUGGUGACCCACAGAAUGUUGCACACACAAAUACAAAAGCUGGGCCUCAAGACAUAGAACAACAAAUGCAUGGAGUUUUGAUGCAUGGUGACAGUGCCCCUGGUAAGGAUCACAGCCAUGAACAUGGUGACCCACAGAAUGUUGCACACACAAAUACAAAAGCUGGGCCUCAAGACAUAGAACAACAAAUGCAUGGAGUUUUGAUGCAUGGUGACAGUGCCCCUGGUAAGGAUCACAGCCAUGAACAUGGUGACCCACAGAAUGUUGCACACACAAAUACAAAAGCUGGGCCUCAAGACAUAGAACAACAAAUGCAUGGAGUUUUGAUGCAUGGUGACAGUGCCCCUGGUAAGGAUCACAGCCAUGAACAUGGUGACCCACAGAAUGUUGUGGCCACAAACACAAAAGCAGGACCUCAAGACAUAGAACAACAAAUGCAUGGAGUUAUGAUGCAUGGGGACAAUGUCCCUGGUAAGGAUCACAGCCAUGAACAUGGUGACCCACAGAAUGUUGUGGCCACAAACACAAAAGCUGGGCCUCAAGACAUAGAGCAACAAAUGCAUGGAGUUUUGAUGCACGGUGACAGUGCCCCUGGUAAGGAUCACAGCCAUGAACAUAGCGGAUCAGAGAAUGUUGUGGCCACAAACACAAAAGCUGGGCCUCAAGAUAUAGCAGAACAAAUGCAUGGAGUUAUGAUGCAUGGUGACUCACAGGCUGGCCUUCUUCAUCACACCAAGGACAAUGCCAAAAAAUCUAUAAACCCUAAAUUUAGGGGUCAAUUUAAUGUUCAGAAUUAUGAAGAGUAUUUACAUGGUGUAAUGAUGCAUGGCGACUCGAAACCUGGAAACGACCACCAUGGCCAUUCAGGAGAAGAGGAAAAUACUGCUGACAAGAAGAAAAAAGAAGGAACGGUAAAUAGUCCAAUGGACUAUGAGGAAUAUCUUCAUGGAGUUCUUAUGCAUAAUGACGCCAAACCAGGAGAAAGUCAUGUCCAUGAAGAUGAGAAAAAGUUCCAGAAAGUUCGUAAAACAGAUAAACCAGCGAGUCCUUCAGAUGCCGAAGAAUUAAUACAUGGUCUUUUAAUGCAUAAUGAUGCGAGAUCUGGUUAUAAACAUCAUGAACAUGAGAAAAAGGAAAAGGCUGACCCUCUUUCACAACCUGGGAGUGUUUUGGCUCCUGAUAUCGAUGCUCUAGAUAAGAGUUUAAGCAACGACAAGGUACCUGAUGGAGCAUCAUUUGCAAAGAGAAAAAUUGUAGUGAAAGGUGGUAAAGACAAAGACCUGGAAGAAAAUGUGAAACCGGUGGAAGAAAGCCGAAUUAGCGGUUAUUUAUAUUCUAUUUACAAAACAAUUCAUGAUAUGAAGGAGAAAUAUUUUAAUCUAGAUAAGAAUAAUAAUAACAAUGAUAGAAAGGAAAGAAGUCAUAAAACGGAAAAAGCUUCUGAAGAAGGGGUGGGUGUAAUUACGGCCGAAGAAGCCCGCAAACAUCUUUCGCCUACCCAUGAACACAAGCCUGGUGACAUGCGCAGUGAUCUCGAUUUAAUUGGAAAUACUGCGCCUCUUCAUAUGAACCAUAGAGCUCAUAGAGAUAAUGGAAAGAAACAUAAACACGAUGAAGGCUAACAAAACACACACAUACACACACACACACACAUACACACACACACAUACACGCGCACACACACACACACACACACACACACACACACACACACACACACACACACACACACACACACACACACACACACAAACACACACA
RNAcentral lists this unclassified non-coding RNA (2278 nucleotides) under Octopus sinensis (East Asian common octopus). RNAcentral's name for it is "filaggrin-2, transcript variant X2". The record is from RNAcentral. Lineage: Eukaryota; Metazoa; Mollusca; Cephalopoda; Octopoda; Octopodidae.